GCAUCCAUGGCUGAAUGAUUAAAGCACCCGAUUCAAAAUUAAUGACUUUUUAGGUUCAAUUCCUGCUGGAUAUA
This 74-nucleotide transfer RNA is filed under the name Dichanthelium oligosanthes. It matches the Rfam family "tRNA". From Rfam's summary of the family: Transfer RNA (tRNA) molecules are approximately 80 nucleotides in length. Their secondary structure includes four short double-helical elements and three loops (D, anti-codon, and T loops). Further hydrogen bonds mediate the characteristic L-shaped molecular structure. tRNAs have two regions of fundamental functional importance: the anti-codon, which is responsible for specific mRNA codon recognition, and the 3' end, to which the tRNAs corresponding amino acid is attached (by aminoacyl-tRNA synthetases). tRNAs cope with the degeneracy of the genetic code in two manners: having more than one tRNA (with a specific anti-codon) for a particular amino acid; and 'wobble' base-pairing, i.e. permitting non-standard base-pairing at the 3rd anti-codon position. Lineage: Eukaryota; Viridiplantae; Streptophyta; Magnoliopsida; Poales; Poaceae. The record is from Rfam by way of RNAcentral.